Molecule: ribosomal RNA, 772 nt
Filed under: Staphylococcus sp. A1.9
Lineage: Bacteria; Bacillati; Bacillota; Bacilli; Caryophanales; Staphylococcaceae
Description: bacterial SSU rRNA
Rfam family: Bacterial small subunit ribosomal RNA
Source: RNAcentral
CCCGGGGGCCUCCCUAUCUUGGUAAAGUAACACGUGGGUAACCUACCUAUAAGACUGGGAUAACUUCGGGAAACCGGAGCUAAUACCGGAUAAUAUUUCGAACCGCAUGGUUCGAUAGUGAAAGAUGGUUUUGCUAUCACUUAUAGAUGGACCCGCGCCGUAUUAGCUAGUUGGUAAGGUAACGGCUUACCAAGGCGACGAUACGUAGCCGACCUGAGAGGGUGAUCGGCCACACUGGAACUGAGACACGGUCCAGACUCCUACGGGAGGCAGCAGUAGGGAAUCUUCCGCAAUGGGCGAAAGCCUGACGGAGCAACGCCGCGUGAGUGAUGAAGGUCUUCGGAUCGUAAAACUCUGUUAUUAGGGAAGAACAUACGUGUAAGUAACUGUGCACGUCUUGACGGUACCUAAUCAGAAAGCCACGGCUAACUACGUGCCAGCAGCCGCGGUAAUACGUAGGUGGCAAGCGUUAUCCGGAAUUAUUGGGCGUAAAGCGCGCGUAGGCGGUUUUUUAAGUCUGAUGUGAAAGCCCACGGCUCAACCGUGGAGGGUCAUUGGAAACUGGAAAACUUGAGUGCAGAAGAGGAAAGUGGAAUUCCAUGUGUAGCGGUGAAAUGCGCAGAGAUAUGGAGGAACACCAGUGGCGAAGGCGACUUUCUGGUCUGUAACUGACGCUGAUGUGCGAAAGCGUGGGGAUCAAACAGGAUUAGAUACCCUGGUAGUCCACGCCGUAAACGAUGAGUGCUAAGUGUUAGGGGGUUUCCGCCCCCUA